CAGUAGCCGCGGGAAUACAGAGGGUGCGAGCGUUAAUCGGAUUUACUGGGCGUAAAGCGUGCGUAGUCGGCUUCUUAAGUCGGAUGUGAAAUCCCUGAGCUUAACUUAGGAAUUGCAUUCGAUACUGGGAAGCUAGAGUAUGGGAGAGGAUGGUAGAAUUCCAGGUGUAGCGGUGAAAUGCGUAGAGAUCUGGAGGAAUACCGAUGGCGAAGGCAGCCAUCUGGCCUAAUACUGACGCUGAGGUACGAAAGCAUGGGGAGCAAACAGGAUUAGAUACCCCGGUAGUCCCUGUCUCUUAUAC
Molecule: ribosomal RNA, 301 nt
Filed under: uncultured bacterium
Lineage: Bacteria
Description: partial 16S ribosomal RNA
Rfam family: Bacterial small subunit ribosomal RNA
Source: RNAcentral